UUUCCUGGUUCUAAAACCCUCGCUCUCUUUGGAACCCUAGACUCGUCCUCUCUUCCUCGCAUAAGAUUUUCUUUCGAAACGACCCUCUCCACUCCUCUCGAUCUCUCCUCUUCCUUCCCGCUCGUCGAUCCUUUACAAUGGCGGAUCACCAGAACGGGAAUCCACCUGUGGAUCCACCGGAGAACAACGACGAGGAGCCGAUGAUAGGACCCGGCCCCGCCCUUCGCCCGCGCCCCAAGCGCCCUCUCCAGUUCGAGCAGGCCUUCCUCGAUGCCCUCCCCUGUGCUCACAUGUAUGAGAAGAGUUACAUGCAUCGAGAUGUGGUCACUCAUGUUGCUGUGUCGGCCGCAGACUUCUUCAUUACUGGAAGCAUCGAUGGGCAUCUGAAAUUUUGGAAGAAGAAGGCUAUUGGGAUUGAAUUUGCUAAACAUUUCAGAUCUCAUCUUGGUCCCAUUGAAGGCCUGGCUGUUAGUAUUGAUGGUUUAUUUUGCUGUACAAUUUCUAAUGAUCGGUCGGUGAAGAUUUAUGAUGUUGUAAACUUUGAUAUGAUGGUGAUGAUGCGCCUUCCAUUUAUUCCUGGUGCGGCUGAAUGGGCUUAUAGACAAGGAGAUGUCAAAGCUAAGCUUGCAAUUAGCGACAGAAAUUCCUCUUUUGUUCACAUAUAUGAUGCACAUGCUGAUUCAAAUGAACCAAUUAUCUCGAGAGAGAUUCACAUGGGGCCAGUAAAAGUUAUGAAGUACAACCACAUAUAUGAUAUUAUGAUAUCAGCUGAUGCCAAAGGGGUCCUAGAAUAUUGGUCUCCCACUACACUCAAGUUUCCAGAGAAUAGUGUGAAUUUCAAGUUAAAAACGGACACCAAUCUUUUUGAAAUUGCCAAGUGCAAGACCACCGUCUCUGCGAUUGAGGUGAGCCCAGAUGGCAAUCAAUUUGCUAUAACAUCUCCUGAUCGCAGGAUACGUGUCUUUUGGUUCAAAACGGGUAAAAUGAGGCUUGUGUAUGAUGAAUCUCUUGAGGUGGCCCAAGAUUUACAAAGAAGUGGUGCUCCUUUAUAUCAGCUAGAAGCGAUUGACUUUGGGCGAAGAAUGGCUGUUGAGAAGGAAAUAGAGAAAACAGAAAAUGCUCCACAACCAAAUGCUAUUUUUGAUGAGAGCUCUAACUUUCUUAUUUAUGCAACCCUUCUGGGUAUAAAAAUAGUAAAUUUGCACACAAAUAAAGUUGCCCGAAUUCUUGGAAAAGUGGAGAAUAAUGACAGGUUUUUAAGAAUUGCUUUAUAUCAAGGUGACAAGAGUAACAAAAAAGUUCGGAAGAUUCCUGCAGCUGCAGCAAAUGUCAAUGAAACCAAAGAACCUUUGACAGAUCCUACACUUCUGUGUUGUGCUUUCAAAAAACAUCGAAUCUAUUUGUUCAGCCGAAGAGAGCCUGAAGAACCUGAAGAUGCAACCAAAGGAAGGGAUGUUUUUAAUGAAAAGCCGCCACCUGAGGAGCUUUUAGCAGUAUCUGAUAUAGGAAACGCUGUCACAACAUCCCUUCCUGAUAGCGUGGUUUUGCACACAUCUCUUGGUGAUAUUCACAUGAGACUGUACCCAGAAGAAUGCCCGAAAACUGUGGAGAACUUUACAACUCAUUGUAGAAAUGGAUAUUAUGACAAUCUCAUCUUCCACCGUGUAAUUAAGGGAUUCAUGAUACAGACAGGAGAUCCUUUGGGAGAUGGCACUGGUGGGCAGUCUAUAUGGGGAUGGGAAUUUGAAGAUGAGUUUCACAAAAGCUUGAGGCAUGACAGACCUUUCACAGUAUCAAUGGCAAAUGCUGGACCAAAUACAAAUGGUUCUCAGUUUUUUAUUACCACUGUGGCCACACCAUGGCUUGACAAUAAGCAUACUGUUUUUGGCAGAGUUGUAAAGGGGAUGGAUGUUGUUCAGGGAAUAGAGAAGGUCAAGACAGAUAAGAAUGACAAGCCAUAUCAGGAUGUCAAGAUCUUAAAUGUUACUGUUCCCAAUUCCUAGACUUCAUGCUCUUUCCCAUUGACUGAUGGGGAAAUACUAUUGCUCUGGCAGGUGGCUAUGGGUCCAUCAAAAUAAAUGGGUUAGGAGACAUUUUGAGCCCCACUGAGCUUUUGCUAAUUGUAGUAGUCUGCUUGCAACAUGGAGGAGGAUUAUGAAACCGGCUGUGAUUUUAUGACAUGAAUCUAUCAGCGCCACCCUCAGUAUUUUGCGGUAAUAUCUGAUGAAUUCUGUCCGGUGGUGGAUACAUAUAUGAUGCAGAAUUCGGCUGAUAUGAUAUUAAUUACUGGAGAAGUGUGAGGACCUGGGCAUUCAGUUGGCAUUUUACGAGGCAUUUGUUGUUUUUAUUAGGGUAUUUAUCUCUCCUGCUGCAUUGUUUCUAUGUGUGUUUUCAAUCCUGCAGCUAUCUUCUCAAAUCCACAUCUGACACUAGCAAAUAGCACAUCAUUCUGGUGGUAAUGUGGAAGGUUCUGCUUGAAGGAUGAAAUCUUACAAAUAAACAUGAAAAACAUCUUCUAUGACAAGCAAUUAAAUAUAAUUAUUUGUAUGACAGUGAAGAUUUAUCUUUAAAAAAAUGUUGUGCAGGGACUUGUGAGGACAAAUUUCUGUUAAAAUAAAAUAUUAUAAUUUUUUAUGCUCAGAAAAAAAAA
Molecule: RNA transcript, 2650 nt
Organism: Phoenix dactylifera (date palm)
Lineage: Eukaryota; Viridiplantae; Streptophyta; Magnoliopsida; Arecales; Arecaceae
Gene: CYP71
Gene name: cyclophilin71
Source: RefSeq, a predicted model, not a curated record